This 379-nucleotide ribosomal RNA is filed under the name uncultured eukaryote. Its description in RNAcentral is "partial 18S ribosomal RNA". It matches the Rfam family "Eukaryotic small subunit ribosomal RNA", at positions 592 to 975 of the family's 1831-position model. The record is from RNAcentral.
CAAUAGCGUAUAUUUAAGUUGUUGCAGUUAAAAAGCUCGUAGUUGGAUUUCUGCUGAGAACGACCGGUCCGCCCUCUGGGUGUGUAUCUGGCUCUUUCUUGGCAUCUUCUUGGUGAACGUUGCUGCACUUGACUGUGUGGAGCGCUACCCAGGACUUUUACUUUGAGGAAAUUAGAGUGUUUCAAGCAGGCAUACGCCUUGAAUACAUUAGCAUGGAAUAAUAAGAUAGGACCUCGGUUCUAUUUUGUUGGUUUCUAGAGCUGAGGUAAUGAUUAAUAGGGAUAGUUGGGGGCAUUCGUAUUUAACUGUCAGAGGUGAAAUUCUUGGAUUUGUUAAAGACGGACUACUGCGAANGNAUUUGCNAAGGAUGUUUNCAUUG